AGUGAACGCUGGCGGUAGGCCUAACACAUGCAAGUCGAACGGCAGCACAGUAAGAGCUUGCUCUUACGGGUGGCGAGUGGCGGACGGGUGAGGAAUACAUCGGAAUCUACUUUUUCGUGGGGGAUAACGUAGGGAAACUUACGCUAAUACCGCAUACGACCUACGGGUGAAAGCAGGGGAUCUUCGGACCUUGCGCGAUUGAAUGAGCCGAUGUCGGAUUAGCUAGUUGGCGGGGUAAAGGCCCACCAAGGCGACGAUCCGUAGCUGGUCUGAGAGGAUGAUCAGCCACACUGGAACUGAGACACGGUCCAGACUCCUACGGGAGGCAGCAGUGGGGAAUAUUGGACAAAGGGCGGAAGCCUGAUCAAGCCAUACCGCGUGGGUGAAGAAGGCCUUCGGGUUGUAAAGCCCUUUUGUUGGGAAAGAAAAGCAGCAGGUUAAUACCCCGCUGUUCUGACGGUACCCAAAGAAUAAGCACCGGCUAACUUCGUG
This 492-nucleotide ribosomal RNA is filed under the name uncultured bacterium. RNAcentral describes it as "partial 16S ribosomal RNA". It matches the Rfam family "Bacterial small subunit ribosomal RNA", at positions 29 to 507 of the family's 1533-position model. The record is from RNAcentral.